Molecule: ribosomal RNA, 438 nt
Filed under: uncultured bacterium
Lineage: Bacteria
Description: partial 16S ribosomal RNA
Rfam family: Bacterial small subunit ribosomal RNA
Source: RNAcentral
CCUACGGGAGACAGCAGUAGGGAAUAUUGCUCAAUGGGGGAAACCCUGAAGCAGCAACGCCGCGUGGAGGAUGAAGGUUUUCGGAUUGUAAACUCCUUUUGUUAGAGAAGAUAAUGACGGUAUCUAACGAAUAAGCACCGGCUAACUCCGUGCCAGCAGCCGCGGUAAUACGGUGGGUGCAAGCGUUACUCGGAAUCACUGGGCGGAAAGAGCGCGUAGGCGGGAUAGCAAGUCAGAUGUGAAAUCCUAUGGCUUAACCAUAGAACUGCAUUUGAAACUGUUAUUCUAGAGUAUGGGAGAGGUAGGUGGAAUUCUUGGUGUAGGGGUAAAAUCCGUAGAGAUCAAGAGGAAUACUCAUUGCGAAGGCGACCUGCUAGAACAUAACUGACGCUGAUGCGCGAAAGCGUGGGGAGCAAACAGGAUUAGAUACCAGUAGUC